UCCGCUGCGGCUCCCCAGCGUCUAAGGAAACCGCCGUCCCCUCCGUGAUCCCCUUCCCUUUCCUAUCUUCACCGUGACCACUAAGCAGAGACCCCGAUCCUCUUCCCCUUUCCACCGUGAGCAGAGACCCCCAUCCCCUCCGUGAUCCGCAUCGACUCGGAGAAGCUGCGGCAGCGGCACAUCCCCUCCGUGAUCCGCAUCGACUCGGAGAAGCGGCACAUCUCCUCCGUGUUCCGCAUCACCGCCUCGCCUGGCUCCUUCCUCUUCGCCUGGCUGGGCACUGGGACUCGGAGAAGCUGCGGCAGCGCCUCCUCGCCUGGUUAGUCCCGGGAGGCCGCAGUGAAGCCGGAACCCGCUCGAUCUCCGUUGGCCGCGCCCCGCGCCGCGAGCUCGGUGCCCGAAGCCGGUGGCCGCGCGCCCGCCUGCUGGUGCUCGCGGCGCGCCCCGCCCACCGCGAGCUGCGGGAGGCCGCAGCGAAGCCGGUGGCCGCGCCCCGCCCGCCCGCUGCCCAAGCGGCCGCGCAGUUGGCCGCGCCCCGCCCGCCGGUGCCCGCGUCUCCCGCCGCGAGACCUCGCGGACGCCCCUAGCCGUGAGUCGCACAUGGACAGGCCUCUGGUUCCCAGUAGGCAUGAUGAUGCAAUUUCAGCUGCACAGAUAUACAUUGAGCAAAAUGGAUCGAAAGCAUUUGAGAAUAUUGUAAACAAGGCAUUUUGGUUGGUGAUGAGCUUGUAAUAGAUGGUCGAAUGGCAAAAUUUGAAAUUACUGAGAAAACAAGAAAUGAUUUGCUCUGUAAGUGCGUGGACCCAGGUUUACUUCUUCCUCGAGCCAAGUUGUCAUUCGGAAAUUUAGUUCAAAGGAACUUUGUCCUUCCUAACGAAAAACUUUAUAUUUCUGCAUCUCAUGUAUUAAUUUUUUAUAGUUCCCUUCUGCAGCAACAUUUUCCGUGGCAUAUUAAGAAUUCAGCAGCUGUUUCAUGGACAUUCUUUUUUUUGACUUAUGGUCCAUAGUUAAAAAACUAAUCCUUUUGACACGAUCAAAUUUCUAGCUAACUUUAUGUGAGAAAUAUCAUCUAAUCCCUUCCCAACUUGCUUGACAUGAAAAGGUUUUGUUGUUCGUGAUAUACUGAUAUGUAUAUAAUCUCCCAAUCUCUCUUAUCAUUCAUUGGCCACAACUAUGUAUUUGCUUCUUGCUGAGUGCCUGUAUUAUAUUUGAGGGUUAGGAAGGCAUCGGAUUUGGGAUAGCUGAAGGAGUUGAUUGCAUUACUCUAUCAUUUGUAAAUGAUGCCAAUUAUAUAAAGCAGUUGAAGGCUUACCUCUCUAGAAGAUCAUUAGGGUCAGGCCACUACCUGGACCUUAUUGUUAGUUUUGAUUUGUGCCGACAUAGAGAACCUAUUUGUCCUUGUCUUCGUAUAGAAAAAAAAUGCUAAUUGUGAUUUAUGUCAUCACAUUUCAGUUUAUUUUUCAUGUAUUGCUAUAGAAAUAACUUUGUAGUUUAUUAAUUGUGAUUUAUGUUAACACAUACAACUCAAGCUUGUCCUUGUAUUUUCAAAGUUUAGUUUGUCAAUUGUAUUUGUGCCAACACUGAUUAGUUUUUUGUGUUUUGGUUUGUUUUUGUGUAAAUAUAGAUCAGGCAUUAACUCUACUCGCUGCAGGCUUUAUAUGCACGAGCCAGAUUCUCUGGUCAGGGAGAUCGUGAGGAAGAAUAACACCUUCCUUAUCAAACAAUUUGGCAACGACAAUGCGGCAUUGAUAGGUUGCUUUUUAGGCCUUACAAACAAGAAGAUUAUGACAUUGCAGCCAGCCAGUGGUAGGGGGAUUAUAGUGGUCCUCUAUAUACAACCAAAACAAAGAAGCAAAACAAGGCUCUCAGCCUCUAUGACAAGUCUUUCAUGCACAAGGACUUCCACAAGAUGGCCAAGGUGGUGAAGAACUAGGUUCUGCAGCAGAGAGAGGGGAGGCUAUUGGGCGUUGUUGUGGGGGUGCUGCGGAGUCGCUGGUGAUGUGCAGCACCGGCGCCAUGGGUGUCGAUGACGGCGAUCACGAGAAGGAGGACAGCGACAAGGAGCGGAUCAAGAUUGGACGGCCCAACGGACAUGCCACACGUUUCACACAUCACCUAUGACAAUUUCGGCGGCUUCCUCAGCCUCCCCGCCGGCCUUGAACUAGACAUACUGUGGCGCACGCCCAGUGCCAGGAAUGAGAUUGUUCAAUGUUCACGUCGAGCUUUGAGGAUGGUGCGGUGCCGACAAGCUUUGGCAAGGGCAGUCCAGCGUCGUGCGACCACGUGCACAAAUGGUGAACGUGGAUCCUUGAGGUAUCAACUGAUAUCAAUAGCAAGAAUAAAGCUUCAAUUUGUUUUCAGUUGAGCUGUAGGUUCUGAGCAUCAAUGUAACCCCUUUUUCCUAACAUUGUUAGGGUGGUGAGCAGAUUCUACUAGAAUAAUAUUUUUGAAUGUUGGGACUAUAAAUCAUGUACUGCAUAUUAGCAUAUUUUUUAGUGCUAUUUGCGUACAAAAGUAUAUAAGUAAAAUACUUUCUCAUUCUGUAUCUAUCUAUUUUGGUUGUGGAGGUGCUCUUCCUAUCCAUGUACUAAGUCUUUAGCUUCUAUAGUUACACAUUUCAAAAGGUGUAGAACACUUCAAUAUAGUACAAUUCAGUGAUUUCAGUCAACACGAAA
Sorghum bicolor (sorghum) is the source of this 2675-nucleotide long non-coding RNA. RefSeq lists it as uncharacterized. The record is from RefSeq and is a predicted model, not a curated record. The transcript has 7 exons. NCBI's taxonomy places the organism in Eukaryota, Viridiplantae, Streptophyta, Magnoliopsida, Poales, Poaceae.